CCCGAGUCGGGGCCGUUGGUUGGUGCGCGGCUGAGGGGUGUGGCGCGAGCAGCGUCGUUGGUUGGCCGGCAGCGGGCCGGGACGGGCAUGGCCCUGCUGCUGUGCCUGGUGUGCCUGACGGCGGCGCUGGCCCAAGGCUGUCUGCACUGCCACAGCAACUUCUCCAAGAAGUUCUCCUUCUACCGCCAGCAUGUGAACUUUAAGUCCUGGUGGGUGGGCGACAUCCCCGUGUCAGGGGCGCUGCUCACCGACUGGAGCGACGACACGAUGAAGGAGCUGCACCUGGCCAUCCCCGCCGAGAUCACCCGGGAGAAGCUGGACCAAGUGGCGACAGCAGUGUACCAGAUGAUGGAUCAGCUGUACCAGGGGAAAAUGUACUUCCCCGGGUAUUUCCCCAACGAGCUGCGAAACAUCUUCCGGGAGCAGGUGCACCUCAUCCAGAACGCCAUAAUCGAAAGGCACCUGGCACCGGGCAGCUGGGGAGGAGGGCAGCUCUCCAGGGAGGGACCCAGCCCAGCACCUGAAGGAUCAAUGCCAUCACCCCGCGGGGACCUCCCCUAAGUAGCCCCCAGAGGCGCUGGGAGUGUUGCCACCGCCCUCCCCUGAAGUUUGCUCCAUCCCACGCUGGGGGUCAACCUGGGGACCCCUUCCCUCCGGGCCAUGGACACAUACAUGAAAACCAGGCCGCAUCGACUGUCAGCACCACUGUGGCAUCUUCCAGUACGAGACCAUCUCCUGCAACAACUGCACAGACUCGCACGUCGCCUGCUUUGGCUAUAACUGCGAGUAGGGCUCAGGCAUCACACCCACCCGUGCCACGGCCCUGCUGUCCCUGGGGUCCCAGGCUCUCCUUGGAGGGGGCUCCCCGCCUUCUACCUGGCCCUCGUCAUCGGGAUAGGGCGGGGCCGGGGGUUCAGGCCACACCACUUCCAAGCCUGCGUCCCACAGGUCCUCGCAGCAGUGGGAGUCGGCUGUCCAGGGCCUCCUGAGCUACAUAAAUAACUGGCACAAGUAAGUCCCCUCCUCAAACCGACACAGGCAGUGUGCGUAUGUGAGCACCUCGUGGGUGAGUAUGUGUGGGGCACAGGCUGGCUCCCUCAGCUCCCACGUCCUAGAGUGGCUCCUGAGGAGGUGGAACCUCAACCCAGCUCUGCGCAGGAGGCGGCUGCAGUCCCUUUCUCCCUCAAAGGUCUCCGGCCCUCAGCUGGAGGCGGGGCAUCCUUCCUAAAGGGUCCCCAUAGGGUCUGGUUCCACCCUGUCCCAGGUCUGUGGUCAGAGCCUGGGAGGGUUCCCUACGAUGGUUAGGGGUGCCCCAUGGAGGGGCUGACUACCCCACAUUGCCUUUCAGACAGGAUACGAGCAUGAGGUAAGGCCGCCCUGACCUGGCCUUCAGGGGGAGGGGGUAAAGGAAGAGAGGAGGGGGGCUAGGGGGUCCUCUAGGUCAGUGGGGGCACCGCAGGUGGGGCUCUCCCUAUACCUGGGACACCUGCUGGAUGUCACCUCUGCAACCACACCCAUGUGGUGCUUUCAUGAACAAACCACGCUCCUCCUCCUUCUCCUGGCCUGGGACACACAGAGCCACCCCAGCCUUGUGAGUGACCCGGAGAAGGGAGGCCUCAGGAGAAGGGGUGCUCCUAAGCCAACACCAGCGUGCCGCGGCCCCCACACCCUUCUGAAAUCCCAGGCACACGGGUGUCGUGGAUGUGGCCACACAUAGGACCACACGUCCCAGCUGGGAGGAGAGGGCUGGGGCCUCCAGGGAGGGAGGCAGGGGGUGGGGGACAUGGAGAGCUGAGGCAGCCUCGUCUCCCCGCAGCCUGGUAUCGCCGGCCUUAAGGUGUCUGGAGCCCCCACACCUGGCCAACCUGACCUUGGAAGAUGCUGCCGAGUGUCUCAAGCAGCACUGACAGCAGCUGGGCCUGCCCCAGGGCAACGUGGGGGCGGGGACUCAGCUGGACAGCCCCCACCUGUCCCUCUGGAGCUGGGCUGCUGCUGCCUCAGGACCCCCCCUUCAACCCUGGACAGAGCUGAGCUGGCCAGGGCCGGGAGGGCGGGAGGGCGGGAAUGGGGGUGGGUUGUGCGCAGCGUCAGCGCCUGGGCAGGUCCUCGGAGCUGCAGUAUGUGAUGAUUAAAGUCUCUGAUGUUUCUC
Molecule: small RNA, 2149 nt
Filed under: Pongo abelii (Sumatran orangutan)
Lineage: Eukaryota; Metazoa; Chordata; Mammalia; Primates; Hominidae
Description: retained intron
Source: RNAcentral